This 23-nucleotide transfer RNA is filed under the name Streptocarpus porphyrostachys. RNAcentral describes it as "partial tRNA-Asp". The record is from RNAcentral. RNAcentral also lists the same sequence under 1 other name. Lineage: Eukaryota; Viridiplantae; Streptophyta; Magnoliopsida; Lamiales; Gesneriaceae.
CGGGACUGGCGGGGCUCGAACCU